AACGAACGCUGGCGGCAGGCUUAACACAUGUAAGUCGAGCGCCUCGCAAGAGGAGCGGCAGACGGGUGAGUAACGCGUGGGAAUCUACCCAUCUCUACGGAAUAACGCAUGGAAACGUGUGCUAAUACCGUAUACCGCCCCGUUGGGGGGAAAGAUUUAUCGGAGAUGGAUGAGCCCGCGUUGGAUUAGCUAGUUGGUGG
This 200-nucleotide ribosomal RNA is filed under the name uncultured bacterium. RNAcentral describes it as "partial 16S ribosomal RNA". It matches the Rfam family "Bacterial small subunit ribosomal RNA", at positions 29 to 255 of the family's 1533-position model. The record is from RNAcentral.